AAUUUUGCAGCAAACUUUCACUGAUUUCUAUCAAACCUAUACAUGCCUUUAACUCGUCAACAAAAGAGAGAUCUUAACAUCACAGAUUUGGAGUCAUAUACUAUGGCAUCUGAGGAGGCAAUCAAUGCUAAAUUUGAAGCCUUUGAGGCACGAAUGGAGGAUAAGAUUCGGACUCUCCUUACCGAAUUCAGUUUGGGCCGAC
Molecule: long non-coding RNA, 202 nt
Filed under: Musa acuminata (dwarf banana)
Lineage: Eukaryota; Viridiplantae; Streptophyta; Magnoliopsida; Zingiberales; Musaceae
Description: long non-coding RNA (MACU_LNC009272)
Source: RNAcentral